This is a long non-coding RNA of Homo sapiens (human), 593 nucleotides long. Ensembl annotates it as MMP2 antisense RNA 1. Its record names the gene MMP2-AS1. Lineage: Eukaryota; Metazoa; Chordata; Mammalia; Primates; Hominidae. The record is from Ensembl.
CAGAAGCCUAGAUAAAGAAACAAGAUUUCAGGCAGGAAGAAAUAAUAAAGAGGCAGGACUUCAAGUGUCCUGUGAAACACAACAUUCGGCCUCCGGCACACACAUCCGUGGGAGACGGCUCAACUUCUUUAUAAAGUGAGGAACCAAAUUGUGAAGACAUCUGUUCUGUUAUUAAUUUCACAUACAUCUUAAGCUCCUCAAGGCCAGAAAUGAGGCUUCAUUCACGUCGAAUUAAUGAAACAUGAUUCAGCUACAUUUUCACCCCAUCCCGGGCUCCAUGUUCCUGCUGCACACACAUCAAGAAUGCUGCUAAUUUCAGCGUCUGCCUUCCAGACCCAGACGUCAAAACAACUACCUUUCAUCUCAGGUUUGUAACACAGAAAACCUUCAAUAUUGGGAACAGAUAACCUCGAAGGUGGGUUCAUAUCUCUCAGCACGAUUGCUGUAACUUAACUCUGCUGCACCCGAUCAAGGCUUUCUCUCUGCCUCAUAGGUAUUUUAAUACAAAUGUUCCUUUCAUUUGGCUGAUUGAAGGUCUCCAACCUGCAAUAAAUGAAACAUCUGAUCCCCUUGAAUCCAAAUAACUUUUUCUU